This 449-nucleotide ribosomal RNA is filed under the name Veillonella sp. oral clone R5. Its description in RNAcentral is "bacterial SSU rRNA". It matches the Rfam family "Bacterial small subunit ribosomal RNA", at positions 83 to 508 of the family's 1533-position model. Lineage: Bacteria; Bacillati; Bacillota; Negativicutes; Veillonellales; Veillonellaceae. The record is from RNAcentral.
CUAUCAAUCUUAGUGGCGAACGGGUGAGUAACGCGUAAUCAACCUGCCCUUCAGAGGGGGACAACAGUUGGAAACGACUGCUAAUACCGCAUACGAUCUGACCUCGGCAUCGAGGAUGGAUGAAAGGUGGCCUCUAUUUAUAAGCUAUCACUGAAGGAGGGGAUUGCGUCUGAUUAGCUAGUUGGAGGGGUAACGGCCCACCAAGGCGAUGAUCAGUAGCCGGUCUGAGAGGAUGAACGGCCACAUUGGGACUGAGACACGGCCCAGACUCCUACGGGAGGCAGCAGUGGGGAAUCUUCCGCAAUGGACGAAAGUCUGACGGAGCAACGCCGCGUGAGUGAUGACGGCCUUCGGGUUGUAAAGCUCUGUUAAUCGGGACGAAAGGCCUUCUUGCGAAUAGUUAGAAGGAUUGACGGUACCGGAAUAGAAAGCCACGGCUAACUACGUGC